CCUUUUCCGGGUUGAUCCCCCCCGGAGGCCCAUUGCUAUCGGAGUCCGAUUUAGCCAUGCUAGUCGAGCGAGGUUAGCCCUCGCGGCGAACAGCUCAGUAACACGUGGCCAAGCUACCGUGCAGAGGGGGACAGCGUCGGGAAACUGACGGGAAUCCCCCCAUACCGGUCUCACGCUGGAAUGCCGAGACCGACAAACGCUCGGGCGCUGCAGGAUGCGGCUGCGGCCGAUUAGGUAGUCGGUGGGGUAACGGCCCACCGAGCCGAUAAUUGGUACGGGGUGUGAGAGCACGAGCCCGGAGACGGAAUCUGAGACAAGAUUCCGGGCCCUACGGGGCGCAGCAGGCGCGAAACCUUUACACUGCACGAAGGUGCGAUAAGGGGACUCCGAGUGCGAGGGCAUACAGUCCUCGCUAUUGUGUACCGUAGGGUGGUACACAACCAAGAGCUGGGCAAGACCGGUGCCAGCCGCCGCGGUAAUACCGGCAGCUCGAGUGAUGGCCGAUUUUAUUGGGCCUAAAGCGUCCGUAGCUGGCCCUGCAAGUCCGUCGGGAAAUCCACUCGCCUAACGAGUGGGCGUCCGGCGGAAACUACAGGGCUUGGGACCGGAAGACUUGAGGGGUACGUCUGGGGUAGGAGUGAAAUCCUGUAAUCCUGGACGGACCGCCGAUGGCGAAAGCACCUCAAGACGACGGAUCCGACAGUGAGGGACGAAAGCUAGGGUCUCGAACCGGAUUAGAUACCCGGGUAGUCCUAGCCGUAAACGAUGUUCGCUAGAUGUGGCACAGGCUACGUGCCUGUGCUGUGUCGUAGGGAAGCCGAGAAGCGAACCGCCUGGGAAGUACGUCCGCAAGGAUGAAACUUAAAGGAAUUGGCGGGGGAGCACUACAACCGGAGGAGCCUGCGGUUUAAUUGGAUUCAACGCCGGG
Molecule: ribosomal RNA, 928 nt
Filed under: uncultured archaeon
Lineage: Archaea
Description: bacterial SSU rRNA
Rfam family: Archaeal small subunit ribosomal RNA
Source: RNAcentral